This 253-nucleotide ribosomal RNA is filed under the name uncultured bacterium. RNAcentral describes it as "partial 16S ribosomal RNA". It matches the Rfam family "Bacterial small subunit ribosomal RNA", at positions 524 to 776 of the family's 1533-position model. The record is from RNAcentral.
UACGAAGGGGGCUAGCGUUGUUCGGAAUUACUGGGCGUAAAGCGUGCGUAGACGGUUAUUUAAGUCGGGUGUGAAAGCCCCGGGCUCAACCUGGGAAUUGCAUUCGAGACUGAAUAGCUAGGGUACGGUAGAGGGAAGUGGAAUUUCCGGUGUAGCGGUGAAAUGCGUAGAUAUCGGAAGGAACAUCAGUGGCGAAAGCGACUUCCUGGACCAGUACCGACGUUCAGGCACGAAAGCGUGGGGAGCAAACAGG